Tyto alba (common barn owl) is the source of this 1423-nucleotide long non-coding RNA. RefSeq lists it as uncharacterized. The transcript has 5 exons. Lineage: Eukaryota; Metazoa; Chordata; Aves; Strigiformes; Tytonidae. The record is from RefSeq and is a predicted model, not a curated record.
GAGGGUGCAGACAAGCUGAUCCUGCCUUAAUUCCUCCUAAAACCAGCCCUGAGAGCCUUCAGGUGGAGAGAGGUGCCCGCCAGCCAGGGUGACGGGCCAGCCGGGCGCGGGUGACAGCCCCGGGCCGAGCGGUGCCUCCGGGGGGGACGCGAGGGGCAGGCGGCGCUGCGUGGUGAUGGAGGAAGUGCCAUGUGCACCACCGCCCUGCUCCUCGGCACGCUGGUCAUGAUGCUGCGGAGACACUUCUUCAACAAAGUCGAACCGCACUCGGAGGGAGAAGAAGAGACCAGGAGAGAGGCUGGCUCUGACCCUCGCACCACGUAACACUGCUUUGGAGAAAAAGCCAGCUCCCCUGCGCCCUGCAGCCGGCACCCAGCACAUCCCGGCCUCAGCACAUGCUGAAACCCCCAGCAAAACAACCCACGAUGCCGACCUGCACACUGGUGAACCCACAUCACCCCGGCGCCCCCCCCCCCAGCUCAGGGAGGACCAGGCACUGGGUUAAAUGCUGGCACAGAAAAUAAAUUUGCCUGUCUUUAAGGCUGAGCCCUGGGGGGGUGGCCGGCAGCCCCACGGCGAUGCCCUCCGCAAGCCGAAAUGCACCCUGUGAGCAUGUGGGGUUCACACACCCUCCGCAGCUUUCCCAUCUAUAUAAAUACGUUAAUAAAAGAUCAGUUUGCAGACGCAGCUUGCUGUAGAUGACAGCAUUAGAGGCGCAUCUGUUUCUACUAAGCGCCAGUCUCGUGCUGGGUUUAUUUGGUCCAUUUGCGGCAGGGAAGAGUUGCUUUCGGCAUUCAGAGAUGUCUCGUGUCUGGGAGAAGUGUGGGGGGGAGAUAUAUUUUUGGCUCUAUUUAGCCACAAAAAUUUGGUUUUAGAAUAAAGAAAAAUAUUCCUGUUUUCUGUUUGCUGCCAAACUGAUGCAGAUGAUUUCUUGUGCAAGCCUUCAUUUGUUUGAGAACUCGGUGUCCUGUUGGAAGAAUAAAUGUUCUGAUGGGAAAAGUCUAUCAGCAUGCAUUGAUCAGUCAUUGGGACCGGUGGAGUUGGAAACGUCAGCUUCAACCUAACAGAAAAAGCAGCUCCCAAAGCUUUUGCCAAUACAUAUAAGGCAGAAGGAGACAGGUCUUUUUUUGUGUGAGUGGAAUAGUCACACAGCAGAAUCCUUCCUGCGGGCACAGUUGUGCCAGCCUCACCACAGCUGACAUGAAUUUUCAGUGCCAAAUACACCCACCUGGCACCCAGAACAGGCUGUUUGCUCCUGUCUGAGAGCCGGCCACUGCUGGGGGCCAUGAGCAGGACACAGCACCGGGGGAAGAAGCCCUGGAUGUGGCUCCUGUCCGGGAUGCUCCUGGCUGAUGGCAGCACCUCUUCUCCAUCCAGAGGCUGCAGGGUCACCUCCUCUGCCACCGAGGAAAUAUUAUGAUCA